CCACACUGUAAUGCCCCUUCUCAGUAAUUCCCUGUUGCAGCUACCUCACACUGUAAUGCCUCUUCUCAGUAAUUCCCCAGUGCAGCUGCCUCACAUUGUAAUGUCCAUUCUCAGUGAUGCGAACUGUAAUGCCUUACAUUGUAAUGCCCCUUCUCAGUAAUUCCCCGCUACAGUUGCCUCACAUUCUAAUGCCCCUUCUCAAUGAUGCAAACUGUAAUGCCCCA
This 224-nucleotide long non-coding RNA is filed under the name Physcomitrium patens. Its description in RNAcentral is "long non-coding RNA (PPAT_LNC011680)". The record is from RNAcentral. Lineage: Eukaryota; Viridiplantae; Streptophyta; Bryopsida; Funariales; Funariaceae.